Molecule: ribosomal RNA, 440 nt
Filed under: uncultured bacterium
Lineage: Bacteria
Description: partial 16S ribosomal RNA
Rfam family: Bacterial small subunit ribosomal RNA
Source: RNAcentral
CCUACGGGAGGCAGCAGUAGGGAAUAUUGCUCAAUGGAGGGAAGCCUGAAGCAGCAACGCCGCGUGGAGGAUGAAGGUUUUAGGAUUGUAAACUCCUUUUUUUAGAGAAGAAAAUGACGGUAUGUGAAUAAUACUCACCGGAUAACUCCGUACCAGCAGGCGCGGUAAUACGGAGGGUGCAAGCGUUACUCGGAAUCAAUGGGCGUAAAGGGUGCGGAGGGGGGCUUGUAAGUCAGAUGUGAAAUGCUGUAGUUUAACUACAGAACUGCAUUUGAAACUAUGAGUCUAGAGUGUGGGAGAGGUAGGUGGAAUUCUUGGUGUAGGGGUAAAAUCCGUAGAUAUCAAGCGGAACACUGAUUGCGAAGGCGACCUACCGGAACAUUACUGACGCUGAGGCACGAAAGCGUGGGGAGCAAACAGGAUUAGAUACCCCAGUAGUC